GUUCCCGCUGCCAAGAAAAGCCUCUAGCCAGGUGAUGGUGCCCGUACCGCAAACCGACACAGGUAGUCGAGCAGAGUAUGCUAAGGCGCUCGGAAGAACUCUCGUUAAGGAACUCGGCAAAAUGACCCCGUAACUUCGGGAGAAGGGGUGCCUCGGUAGGGUGAAUAGCCCGAGGGGGCCGCAGUGAAAAGGCCCAAGCGACUGUUUAGCAAAAACACAGGUCUGUGCGAAGCCGUAAGGCGAAGUAUACGGGCUGACGCCUGCCCGGUGCUGGAAGGUUAAGAGGAGUGGUUAGCCGCAAGGCGAAGCUAUGAAUUGAAGCCCCAGUAAACGGCGGCCGUAACUAUAACGGUCCUAAGGUAGCGAAAUUCCUUGUCAGGUAAAUUCUGACCCGCACGAAUGGCGUAACGACUUGGGCGCUGUCUCAACGAGAGAUCCGGUGAAAUUUUAAUACCUGUGAAGAUGCAGGUUACCCGCGACAAGACGGAAAGACCCCAUGGAGCUUUACUGCAGCUUGAUAUUGAACUUUGGUACGAUCUGUACAGGAUAGGUGGGAGCCU
Molecule: ribosomal RNA, 560 nt
Filed under: Paenibacillus lignilyticus
Lineage: Bacteria; Bacillati; Bacillota; Bacilli; Caryophanales; Paenibacillaceae
Description: partial 23S ribosomal RNA
Rfam family: Bacterial large subunit ribosomal RNA
Source: RNAcentral